UAGAGGAAGUAAAAGUCGUAACAAGGUCUCCGUAGGUGAACCUGCGGAGGGAUCAUUACACAAAUAUGAAGGCGGGCUGGAACCUCUCGGGGUUACAGCCUUGCUGAAUUAUUCACCCUUGUCUUUUGCGUACUUCUUGUUUCCUUGGUGGGUUCGCCCACCACUAGGACAAACAUAAACCUUUUGUAAUUGCAAUCAGCGUCAGUAACAAAUUAAUAAUUACAACUUUCAACAACGGAUCUCUUGGUUCUGGCAUCGAUGAAGAACGCAGCGAAAUGCGAUAAGUAGUGUGAAUUGCAGAAUUCAGUGAAUCAUCGAAUCUUUGAACGCACAUUGCGCCCUUUGGUAUUCCAAAGGGCAUGCCUGUUCGAGCGUCAUUUGUACCCUCAAGCUUUGCUUGGUGUUGGGCGUCUUGUCUCUAGCUUUGCUGGAGACUCGCCUUAAAGUAAUUGGCAGCCGGCCUACUGGUUUCGGAGCGCAGCACAAGUCGCACUCUCUAUCAGCAAAGGUCUAGCAUCCAUUAAGCCUUUUUUUCAACUUUUGACCUCGGAUCAGGUAGGAAUACCCGCUGAACUUAAGCAUAUCA
This 586-nucleotide ribosomal RNA is filed under the name Ascomycota sp. UNEX FECRGA 2012E320. Its description in RNAcentral is "eukaryotic LSU rRNA". The stretch from base 224 to 377 matches the Rfam family "5.8S ribosomal RNA". The record is from RNAcentral. Lineage: Eukaryota; Fungi; Ascomycota.